This 841-nucleotide ribosomal RNA is filed under the name uncultured bacterium. RNAcentral's name for it is "bacterial SSU rRNA". It matches the Rfam family "Bacterial small subunit ribosomal RNA", at positions 63 to 921 of the family's 1533-position model. The record is from RNAcentral.
CGAGCGAGAGAGAGCUUGCUUUCUCGAGCGAGUGGCGAACGGGUGAGUAACGCGUGAGGAACCUGCCUCAAAGAGGGGGACAACAGUUGGAAACGACUGCUAAUACCGCAUAAGCCCACGGGUCGGCAUCGACCAGAGGGAAAAGGAGCAAUCCGCUUUGAGAUGGCCUCGCGUCCGAUUAGCUAGUUGGUGAGGUAAUGGCCCACCAAGGCGACGAUCGGUAGCCGGACUGAGAGGUUGAACGGCCACAUUGGGACUGAGACACGGCCCAGACUCCUACGGGAGGCAGCAGUGGGGAAUAUUGCACAAUGGGGGAAACCCUGAUGCAGCGACGCCGCGUGGAGGAAGAAGGUCUUCGGAUUGUAAACUCCUGUUGUUGGGGAAGAUAAUGACGGUACCCAACAAGGAAGUGACGGCUAACUACGUGCCAGCAGCCGCGGUAAAACGUAGGUCACAAGCGUUGUCCGGAAUUACUGGGUGUAAAGGGAGCGCAGGCGGGAAGACAAGUUGGAAGUGAAAUCUAUGGGCUCAACCCAUAAACUGCUUUCAAAACUGUUUUUCUUGAGUAGUGCAGAGGUAGGCGGAAUUCCCGGUGUAGCGGUGGAAUGCGUAGAUAUCGGGAGGAACACCAGUGGCGAAGGCGGCCUACUGGGCACCAACUGACGCUGAGGCUCGAAAGUGUGGGUAGCAAACAGGAUUAGAUACCCUGGUAGUCCACACCGUAAACGAUGAUUACUAGGUGUUGGAGGAUUGACCCCUUCAGUGCCGCAGUUAACACAAUAAGUAAUCCACCUGGGGAGUACGACCGCAAGGUUGAAACUCAAAGGAAUUGACGGGGGCC